Bos taurus (domestic cattle) is the source of this 379-nucleotide long non-coding RNA. NCBI's taxonomy places the organism in Eukaryota, Metazoa, Chordata, Mammalia, Artiodactyla, Bovidae. The record is from Ensembl.
GCCCAGGAAGUCUUCCUUCAGGCCAGCCAGCUUUUCUAGAAGGUUCUCCAGGGAGUCAGUCCCAGGGCUCUGCCUCUGGAGUCUCUGCGCUUCCCUCACUUGCCUCUAGAUGGAAGAUUUCCUCACCUGGUGCCCAACAGGCUCCCCCUGCGGCCACAUCCAGCAAACCUGUGGAUGCUAGAAUUCUCAGAACCAAAUGCAGCCCUUAUCUUCUGCCGCAAAGCGUGACAGGCUUGUGUGUGGCUGUUAUCAAGCAUCAUUUGCUAUGUCCGUUUUUGGGGACAGAGAGGAGGACACAGGGUCCCUGCCUGAGUCUAGAGGAGGAGACAGGAAAUAGAUGUGACCAUGCAGGGUGGCAGAUUCUUUUACUGCUGAGCCA